This 452-nucleotide ribosomal RNA is filed under the name uncultured Acidovorax sp. Its description in RNAcentral is "bacterial SSU rRNA". It matches the Rfam family "Bacterial small subunit ribosomal RNA", at positions 930 to 1382 of the family's 1533-position model. Lineage: Bacteria; Pseudomonadati; Pseudomonadota; Betaproteobacteria; Burkholderiales; Comamonadaceae. The record is from RNAcentral.
CGGUGGAUGAUGUGGUUAAUUCGAGUGACAACGCGAAAACCUUACCCACCUUUGACAUGUACGGAAUCCUUUAGAGAUAGAGGAGUGCUCGAAAGAGAGCCGUAACACAGGUGCUGCAUGGCUGUCGUCAGCUCGUGUCGUGAGAUGUUGGGUUAAGUCCCGCAACGAGCGCAACCCUUGUCAUUAGUUGCUACAUUCAGUUGGGCACUCUAAUGAGACUGCCGGUGACAAACCGGAGGAAGGUGGGGAUGACGUCAAGUCCUCAUGGCCCUUAUAGGUGGGGCUACACACGUCAUACAAUGGAUGGUACAAAGGGUCGCCAACCCGCGAGGGGGAGCCAAUCCCAUAAAGCCAUUCGUAGUCCGGAUCGCAGUCUGCAACUCGACUGCGUGAAGUCGGAAUCGCUAGUAAUCGUGGAUCAGAAUGUCACGGUGAAUACGUUCCCGGGUCUU